UCAGUUUAAGGUUCAAAACCCUAAUGCUGACUAAAAGGAAAAUUCAGUUUAGGGUUUUAAAACCCUAAUGCUGAUUGCAUGAAAAUAGCUCGGUUUAGGGUUUAAAACCCUAAUGCUGGCUGAAAGGAAAAAGUUCAGUUUAGGGUUUAAAACCCUAAUGCUGACUAAAGGAAAAUGUUCAGUUUAGGGUUUAAAACCCUAAUGCUGACUAAAGGAAAAUUCAGUUUUAGGGUUUAAAACCCUAAUGCUGAUUGUAUGGAAAAAGCUCAGUUUAGGGUUUAAAACCCUAAUGCUGGCUGAAAGGAGAAAGUUCAGUUUAGGGUUUAAAACCCUAAUGCUGACUAAAAGGAAAAUUCAGUUUAAGGUUUAAAACCCUAAUGCUGAUUGCACGAAAAAGCUCAGUUUAGAGUUUAAAACUCUAAUGCUGGCUGGAAGGAAAAGUUCAGUUUAGGGUUUAAAACCCUAAUGCUGACUAAAAAGGAAAAUUCAGUUUAGGGUUUAAAACCCUAAUGCUGAUUGCAUGAAAAGCUCAGUUUAGAGUUUAAAACUCUAAUGCUGGCUGAAAGGAAAAAGUUCAGUUUAGGGUUUAAAACCCUAAUGCUGACUAAAAGGAAAAUUCAAUUUAGGGUUUUAAAACCCUAAUGCUGAUUGCAUGAAAAGGCUCAGUUUAGAGUUUAAAACUCUAAUGCUGGCUGGAAGGAAAAGUUCAGUUUAGGGUUUAAAACCUUAAUGCUGACUAAAAAGGAAAAU
This 750-nucleotide long non-coding RNA is filed under the name Nicotiana tabacum (common tobacco). RNAcentral's name for it is "long non-coding RNA (NTAB_LNC015775)". Lineage: Eukaryota; Viridiplantae; Streptophyta; Magnoliopsida; Solanales; Solanaceae. The record is from RNAcentral.